This 460-nucleotide ribosomal RNA is filed under the name uncultured bacterium. Its description in RNAcentral is "partial 16S ribosomal RNA". It matches the Rfam family "Bacterial small subunit ribosomal RNA", at positions 338 to 795 of the family's 1533-position model. The record is from RNAcentral.
CCUACGGGAGGCAGCAGUGAGGAAUAUUGGUCAAUGGCCGGAAGGCUGAACCAGCCAUGCCGCGUGAAGGUCAGUGCCCUAUGGGCGUUAAACUUCUUUUGUGCGGGAGCAAUAAUGGUCACGUGUGGCCAGACGAGAGUACCGUACGAAUAAGCAUCGGCUAACUCCGUGCCAGCAGCCGCGGUAAUACGGGGGAGGCAAGCGUUAUCCGGAUUUAUUGGGUUUAAAGGGUGCGUAGGCUGUGAGGUAAGUCAGCGGUGAAAUGCCCCCGGUCAACGGGGUGAAGUGCCAUUGAUACUGCCUGGCUGGAAUGCGGAUGCCGUGGGAGGAAUGUGUGGUGUAGCGGUGAAAUGCAUAGAUAUCACACAGAACACCGAUUGCGAAGGCAUCUCACGAAUCCGCGAUUGACGCUGAUGCACGAAAGCGUGGGUAUCAAACAGGAUUAGAUACCCCAGUAGUC